GACGAACGCUGGCGGCGUGCUUAACACAUGCAAGUCGAACGGAAAGGCCCUGCUUUUGUGGGGUGCUCGAGUGGCGAACGGGUGAGUAACACGUGAGUAACCUGCCCUUGACUUUGGGAUAACUCCAGGAAACUGGGGCUAAUACCGGAUAGGAGCUCCUGCUGCAUGGUGGGGGUUGGAAAGUUUCGGCGGUUGGGGAUGGACUCGCGGCUUAUCAGCUUGUUGGUGGGGUAGUGGCUUACCAAGGCUUUGACGGGUAGCCGGCCUGAGAGGGUGACCGGCCACAUUGGGACUGAGAUACGGCCCAGACUCCUACGGGAGGCAGCAGUGGGGAAUAUUGCACAAUGGGCGGAAGCCUGAUGCAGCAACGCCGCGUGCGGGAUGACGGCCUUCGGGUUGUAAACCGCUUUCGCCUGUGACGAAGCGUGAGUGACGGUAAUGGGUAAAGAAGCACCGGCUAACUACGUGCCAGCAGCCGCGGUGAUACGUAGGGUGCGAGCGUUGUCCGGAUUUAUUGGGCGUAAAGGGCUCGUAGGUGGUUGAUCGCGUCGGAAGUGUAAUCUUGGGGCUUAACCCUGAGCGUGCUUUCGAUACGGGUUGACUUGAGGAAGGUAGGGGAGAAUGGAAUUCCUGGUGGAGCGGUGGAAUGCGCAGAUAUCAGGAGGAACACCAGUGGCGAAGGCGGUUCUCUGGGCCUUUCCUGACGCUGAGGAGCGAAAGCGUGGGGAGCGAACAGGCUUAGAUACCCUGGUAGUCCACGCUGUAAACGGUGGGUACUAGGUGUGGGGUCCAUUCCACGGGUUCCGUGCCGUAGCUAACGCUUUAAGUACCCCGCCUGGGGAGUACGGCCGCAAGGCUAAAACUCAAAGGAAUUGACGGGGCCCCGCACAAGCGGCGGAGCAUGCGGAUUAAUUCGAUGCAACGCGUAGAACCUUACCUGGGUUUGACAUGGAUCGGGAGUGCUCAGAGAUGGGUGUGCCUCUUUUGGGGUCGGUUCACAGGUGGUGCAUGCCUGUCGUCAGCUCGUGUCGUGAGAUGUUGGGUUAAGUCCCGCAACGAGCGCAACCCUUGUUCACUGUUGCCAGCACGUUAUGGUGGGGACUCAGUGGAGACCGCCGGGGUCAACUCGGAGGAAGGUGGGGAUGACGUCAAGUCAUCAUGCCCCUUAUGUCCAGGGCUUCACGCAUGCUACAAUGGCUGGUACAGAGAGUGGCGAGCCUGUGAGGGUGAGCGAAUCUCGGAAAGCCGGUCUCGGUUCGGAUUGGGGUCUGCAACUCGACCUCAUGAAGUCGGAGUCGCUAGUAAUCGCAGAUCAGCAACGCUGCGGUGAAUACGUUCCCGGGGCU
This 1346-nucleotide ribosomal RNA is filed under the name uncultured bacterium. Its description in RNAcentral is "partial 16S ribosomal RNA". It matches the Rfam family "Bacterial small subunit ribosomal RNA", at positions 28 to 1381 of the family's 1533-position model. The record is from RNAcentral.